UCACGUUUGGCAACAUAAGAGCAUCCGCAUUAACGGAUUUAAAAGGGUUCAUGGCACGAGUUUUUAGGGCUGUAUUGAUAAAAGAAAAUGAAAAAUACGUUUAAUUCGGUGAACCGAUCCUUAGGCGUGAACCCGAAGGAGGGGAGUUCAAACCACGUGUCAUGUUCUCAGUCGCCUGUUCCUUACCCGUCGGAGAAGCUUCUCGGUGAGGAGCCUUUGGAGGAGACUGUUAGCUCUGAGCGGGAUAGUAUCUCCGUCACCGUUCGUUUUCAACCUUUAAGAACAUCGCCAUGUUGGUUCAAAUAAUUUCAGUUUGAGAAUCUGAAUGCUGUAAGAGUGUAAGGAGAUCGUUUAUGCGAAUGUCUGAUUAUAAGGAUAUAAAUUUAGUCACUUGUACGGUCUCCACCAGCUGUAUGAUUUGAGGGUUUAUGUAAGAAGAUUAUUGUUCUUUAGUUCUGCUGAAUUUUAUUGGCUCUGGUUCUAUAGGGUUCGUUUGAGCUUCCACGGGGUCAAUCUUCUAGAGAAGGAGAUGUGGAACUUGGUGAACAAGGAGCAGAUCAAGGAUUAGAUGAUUUCUUCAAAAAGGUUAUCUAAGCUAUUAAAAAAACAAAGUUUUGUUAUAUUACUUCACCAGCUGCUCUACCUAAGUGUGUUUUCCUUCCGUUUCUUAUUAGGUUCAAGAGAUUGAUAAACAAUAUGAAAAGCUUAAUAAGCUUCUAAAGAAACUUCAGGCUGCACAUGAGGAGUCCAAGGCGGUAACCAAAGCUCCCGCCAUGAAGGUGUGUAAUGAACAGCAAUAAAGAAGAAAAUGGAAAAGGACGUUGAUGAAGUCAGAAGUAUUGCUCGUUUCAUUAAGGGUAAACUCGAGGAGCUGGACAGAGAGAACUUGGCAAAUAGCUUACAGAAGAACUCAAGAAAAUGGAUGUGUAUUGCAAUCAUCAUCCUUCUCAUUGUUGUUGCUGUGAUCGUUGUUGGCGUUCUCAAGCCUUGGAAAGACAAGAAGGCUUAGAGGAAUACAAGAAUCUGUAAACAACAACAAAGAACCAUCCUUACAUACUGCUUGUAUCGAGUUGAGUGUUUGUGAAUUGUGUGAAGUAUACGACUAUAUGUAAACAAAGAACCAUCUGUAAACAAUAACAAAGAA
This is a long non-coding RNA of Raphanus sativus (radish), 1144 nucleotides long. RefSeq lists it as uncharacterized. The transcript has 5 exons. Lineage: Eukaryota; Viridiplantae; Streptophyta; Magnoliopsida; Brassicales; Brassicaceae. The record is from RefSeq and is a predicted model, not a curated record.